UACGAAGGGGGCUAGCGUUGUUCGGAAUCACUGGGCGUAAAGCGCACGUAGGCGGAUCCUUAAGUCAGGGGUGAAAUCUCGAGGCUCAACCUCGGAACUGCCUUUGAUACUGGGGAUCUUGAGUCCGGGAGAGGUGAGUGGAAUUGCGAGUGUAGAGGUGAAAUUCGUAGAUAUUCGCAAGAACACCAGUGGCGAAGGCGGCUCACUGGCCCGGUACUGACGCUGAGGUGCGAAAGCGUGGGGAGCAAACAGG
This 253-nucleotide ribosomal RNA is filed under the name uncultured bacterium. Its description in RNAcentral is "partial 16S ribosomal RNA". It matches the Rfam family "Bacterial small subunit ribosomal RNA", at positions 524 to 776 of the family's 1533-position model. The record is from RNAcentral.